AGUGGCGCACGGGUGAGUAAUGCUUGGGUAAUCUACCUUAUGGUCUGGGACAACACUUCGAAAGAGGUGCUAAUACCGGAUAAGACCACGUCCUGUUCGCGGGAUGGGGUAAAAGGUGGCCUCUCCAUGGAAGCUAUCGCCAAUAGAUGAGCCCAAGUCCCAUCAGCUAGUUGGUGAGGUAAUGGCCCACCAAGGCUAAGACGGGUAGCUGGUCUGAGAGGAUGCCCAGCCACACUGGAACUGAGACACGCUCCAGACUCCUACGGGAGGCAGCAGUGGGGAAUUUUGCGCAAUGGGCGAAAGCCUGACGCAGCGACGCCGCGUGAGUGAUGAAGGCCUUCGGGUCGUAAAGCUCUGUGGGAAGGGAACGAAAAGAAUCGGGGAACAAUACCCCUGGUUCGUGACGGUACCCUUCCAGAAAGCACCGGCUAACUCCGUGCCAGCAGCCGCGGUAAUACGGAGGGUGCAAGCGUUGUUCGGAAUUAUUGGUCGUAAAGGGCGUGUAGGCGGAGUGUUGUGUCGGGUGUGAAAGCCCUCGGCUUAACCGAGGAAAUGCACUCGAAACUGGCAUUCUUGAGUACGGGAGAGGGAAGCGGAAUUCCCAGUGUAGAGGUGAAAUUCGUAGAUAUUGGGAGGAACACCGGUGGCGAAGGCGGCUUCCUGGACCGAUACUGACGCUGAGACGCGAAAGCGUGGGGAG
RNAcentral lists this ribosomal RNA (700 nucleotides) under uncultured bacterium. Its description in RNAcentral is "bacterial SSU rRNA". It matches the Rfam family "Bacterial small subunit ribosomal RNA", at positions 94 to 768 of the family's 1533-position model. The record is from RNAcentral.